This is a long non-coding RNA of Bubalus bubalis (water buffalo), 441 nucleotides long. RefSeq lists it as uncharacterized. The transcript has 3 exons. Lineage: Eukaryota; Metazoa; Chordata; Mammalia; Artiodactyla; Bovidae. The record is from RefSeq and is a predicted model, not a curated record.
GUCGUCAUGGAAGAAACCAUUGCUGAGGCUAGCUCUCUGCCUGCACACUGGUCCCCUCAACAGGCCGAACUAUAUGCUCUAAUCCAGGCCCUCCAGCUGUCAAAAGGGAAGAAGACAAACAUUGACACAGACUCCAGGACAGAAUCUCAGAACUGUACUGCCUGCUCACAGGCCAAUGCUACCUCUCGGCAUGGACAGAAACCUCCAGGGAUUCAGCUAAAAGGCACGCUGCCCUCUGAAUACCUGGAAGUGGACUUCACUGAAAUGAAAUCUCACUGACACUACUGCUACCUGCUGGUCAUGUUAAAGUUGCAGGUAUUGCCCCUGGGAUUCACCAUACGAGGGUGAAGAGAGCAAACCACGCAGACCCAGAAAACGCUCAGUGGACUGCGCAGAGGGGCCCCACUGACCCUCAGGAGGCCAAGAUCAUCCUUAAGAAGA